Molecule: long non-coding RNA, 1304 nt
Organism: Mauremys reevesii (Reeves's turtle)
Lineage: Eukaryota; Metazoa; Chordata; Testudines; Geoemydidae
Exons: 8
Source: RefSeq, a predicted model, not a curated record
CCUGGGCUGCUGUCAUGUUAUCAGUGGCUGCUGAAGACACAUGGAGACAGAUGACUAAAGGAGGAAGUUACCCAAAAUUUAAAAUAUCUUUUCUUUAAAAGAAAGGGGUGGGGGAGAGAGAGGUUAGUUCUAAGGGCUCACACUGGUUCAUUCAUGAAGAUCACUUUCCAAUGCUUUAGAACCACACAGCAGUUAAAAAAGAAGAAAAAUGAAAAAAAAAUUCCUGAGGCAGCAGCCACAUCAUCUUUGCCUGCAGAACCCCACCCCUACAAAUUCAAAACAUUGCCAUGGUGACAAAUUUCAGCUGAGCCAUGUUCCCAAACCAUAACCAGACAAACAAAAGUGUUUGUGGGGAACUGUAAAGGAGCACAAUGACCUAUAGCCUUUGCCUUUGAAAGGAUUAAGGACCUAAGACUGAGGGAAGCAGCACCCUUUCCUUCCUCCUCCCUCUGCCGUGAAGUUGUCAUCGGGGGAAUCAUCCCUAUGUUUUGAACCUACUUAGAGACUGUCAGACCUGGAGCAGUACAAUUGCCAUUUGAUAGCCAAGCCCCUAGCUUGCAAGCAGGACCCAGAAAACCACGGAGGAUUUAAAGCCCUGAUGACUGCAGAGAAAAGCUUGAAAAUGCAACCCUAAACAUUCCAACACCAGAAGGAAAAUGAAAAGAACCCAAAAGAUACCUGUAGAAAAUGAGAUGGGAGUCUCAGCCCAGUUCUUAGUGAAACGGAUGUCCUCAUAAGACAUACAACAAAUGGCCCCCUUGAUCUUGAAGUAUAAGAACUAGAAGAAACUCAGCAAGAAGCUGACUGAGACCUUAUGUAUCCUUUUCAUUUAUUUUAAUUAUAAAAUCAAUGUAGUGCUGGUGAAAGAGUCAGACUGGCAGGCCCUGAAUAAUGAAGUCCUCUAUUUUUACUGGACACAACAGGUGGAAUAUGGGCUACAACACUGCAAGUUUCAUAAGCCACUGCCAGUGUGCUUCAACCCUAUCCCAGAGGGACCAUGUGCCCCGACCCGUCUCCUGAGAUUGUCAAUUUUGAUGGUGGGUCUUUUGGGCUAUGUAACUCAGUUCUACCAGGGAAAGAAGUAAGAAUCACCAACUUGUUUUACGCAGUCCUCCAAACAACCAUCAGAUGCCUCUCACGGAAAGUCUCUCCCAACCUUUAGCUAGACUGAAACCAAAGACCUUGUGUGGGGACAAUUCAGUGCAACCUCAAUGACUGUUGAAGAUAUAAGAUAUGUGAAAAGGAGAGAGAAGGAAGACAUCCAGAUGCAAUAAAUCGAUCCUCGAACACGCUCCCCGUCGACU